Molecule: ribosomal RNA, 368 nt
Filed under: uncultured organism
Description: bacterial SSU rRNA
Rfam family: Bacterial small subunit ribosomal RNA
Source: RNAcentral
CGGAGGGUGCAAGCGUUAUCCGGAUUCACUGGGUUUAAAGGGUGCGUAGGUGGGCUAGUAAGUCCGUGGUGAAAUCUCUGAGCUUAACUCGGAAACUGCCGUGGAUACUAUUAGUCUUGAAUCUCGUGGAGGUAAGCGGAAUAUGUCAUGUAGCGGUGAAACGCUUAGAUAUGACAUAGAACACCGAUAGCGAAGGCAGCUUGCUACACGAGUAUUGACACUGAGGCACGAAAGCGUGGGGAUCAAACAGGAUUAGACACCCUGAUAGUCCACGCCCUAAACGAUGGAUACUCGACAUACGCGAUACACAGUGUGUGUCUGAGCGAAAGCAUUAAGUAUCCCACCUGGGAAGUACGACCGCAAGGUUG